RNAcentral lists this ribosomal RNA (842 nucleotides) under Chryseobacterium sp. CI44. Its description in RNAcentral is "bacterial SSU rRNA". It matches the Rfam family "Bacterial small subunit ribosomal RNA", at positions 19 to 865 of the family's 1533-position model. Lineage: Bacteria; Pseudomonadati; Bacteroidota; Flavobacteriia; Flavobacteriales; Weeksellaceae. The record is from RNAcentral.
UUGGCUCAGGAUGAACGCUAGCGGGAGGCCUAUCCCAUGCAGCCGAGCGGUAUAGAUCUUUCGGGAUCUAGAGAGCGGCGUACGGGUGCGGAACACGUGUGCAACCUGCCUUUAUCUGGGGGAUAGCCUUUCGAAAGGGAGAUUAAUACCCCAUAAUAUAUCAGAUGGCAUCAUUUGAUAUUGAAAACUCCGGUGGAUAGAGAUGGGCACGCGCAAGAUUAGAUAGUUGGUGAGGUAACGGCUCACCAAGUCUACGAUCUUUAGGGGGCCUGAGAGGGUGAUCCCCCACACUGGUACUGAGACACGGACCAGACUCCUACGGGAGGCAGCAGUGAGGAAUAUUGGACAAUGGGUGAGAGCCUGAUCCAGCCAUCCCGCGUGAAGGACGACGGCCCUAUGGGUUGUAAACUUCUUUUGUAUAGGGAUAAACCUACCCUCGUGAGGGUAGCUGAAGGUACUAUACGAAUAAGCACCGGCUAACUCCGUGCCAGCAGCCGCGGUAAUACGGAGGGUGCAAGCGUUAUCCGGAUUUAUUGGGUUUAAAGGGUCCGUAGGCGGAUGUGUAAGUCAGUGGUGAAAUCUCACAGCUUAACUGUGAAACUGCCAUUGAUACUGCAUGUCUUGAGUGUUGUUGAAGUAGCUGGAAUAAGUAGUGUAGCGGUGAAAUGCAUAGAUAUUACUUAGAACACCAAUUGCGAAGGCAGGUUACUAAGCAACAACUGACGCUGAUGGACGAAAGCGUGGGGAGCGAACAGGAUUAGAUACCCUGGUAGUCCACGCCGUAAACGAUGCUAACUCGUUUUUGGGCUUUUGGGUUCAGAGACUAAGCGAAAGUGAUAAGU